AUUGAACGCUGGCGGCAGGCCUAACACAUGCAAGUCGAACGGUAACAGGAAGCAGCUUGCUGCUUUGCUGACGAGUGGCGGACGGGGGAGGAAUGUCUGGGAAACUGCCUGAUGGAGGGGGAGAACUACUGGAAACGGUAGCUAAUACCGCAUAACGUCGCAAGACCAAAGAGGGGGACCUUCGGGCCUCUUGCCAUCGGAUGUGCCCAGAUGGGAUUAGCUAGUAGGUGGGGUAACGGCUCACCUAGGCGACGAUCCCUAGCUGGUCUGAGAGGAUGACCAGCCACACUGGAACUGAGACACGGUCCAGACUCCUACGGGAGGCAGCAGUGGGGAAUAUUGCACAAUGGGCGCAAGCCUGAUGCAGCCAUGCCGCGUGUAUGAAGAAGGCCUUCGGGUUGUAAAGUACUUUCGGCGGGGAGGAAGGGAGUAAAGUUAAUACCUUUGCUUAUUGACGUUACCCGCAGAAGAAGCACCGGCUAACUCCGUG
Molecule: ribosomal RNA, 490 nt
Filed under: uncultured bacterium
Lineage: Bacteria
Description: partial 16S ribosomal RNA
Rfam family: Bacterial small subunit ribosomal RNA
Source: RNAcentral